Coturnix japonica (Japanese quail) is the source of this 514-nucleotide non-coding RNA. The record is from RefSeq and is a predicted model, not a curated record. NCBI's taxonomy places the organism in Eukaryota, Metazoa, Chordata, Aves, Galliformes, Phasianidae.
AUGUGCCAGAUGCGUUUGGAUCCAUGGAAUUUUCUGAUGUAGCUUCAGUGUUUGAAGAAUCUCCACUCGAUCUAAAUACUCAGAAAACAAAGCAGAAUUUCUUUGACAGUAACUUCUCCGGCUGUGAUCAGAAAACCUUUUGUUCCGUCUCUGGCACCAUUCGAGGCAUGAUACUCAACUGGGUGAUAUGGAAUUCACACUGUCAACUCCAGUGACAAGAAAAGUGGCAUCUAAGAAGCGUGCAAACACAGAGAAUGUUGAUGCAGAGUCAGUGUUAAGAAAUGAGCUGCCCUUUGCAUUUCCUGCUCCAAAGGCCUUCUUUUCGAAGAGCCAGACAGAGAAGCAAGUAGAAGGCAUAUCUUUUUAGGCGCCUACUUCCAAAGCUUUUGUGGUAUAAAGAAGCGCAGAAAGGUGCUGGAACAGCUUGUUCUAGAUGGCAUCUCAAGGCAACUGGAGAAGAGGAAGAAUCUUCAGGAAUAGUCAGCAUGGAUUGACCAAGAGCAAAUUGUACUUG